UCAGGAACCAAAAAGGACGAAAAGGAUGUGUCCAAGGACACUAAAUGAUUUUUGGCAUAUUGAUUUCUGAAACAUGUUCCUUUUCUUUUCCUUUUUUUUCUUUUUUCUUUUUUGUUUUGAGCGUUUACUGCAACAGAUUGUUAGAAGGAAAUUAGCUGUCAGUUCAACACUUCAGAACUUUAAGCUAUUGUUGUAAGCAUAAGAAAACUGCUAACUUUGCUAGCAGUACUAGAGGAAGUUUUAAGGCAGCCUUCUGAUGCGUUUGCACUUCACGAAUAUUUUUAUGUAUCCUUGUAAUCCUAAUGAACACCUGAGAUUGGUCAAAUUUGAUAUGUGCAUCAAACGUCCUUUUUACCUUGAUAUUCUAAAGCAUCUAUACAAUGUUUAUUAUCUUUUUCAUGCCUUCUCUUUCUCCUUGUUCUGUUUUCUGCCAGUUUCAGUUUUCAACUAUCAUCUCUCUGUGUCUCUGUAUAUACAUUCAGACGCAAAUGUUGACAUAUCUUCAUGCAUGCCUCAUUUGAUAUAUAGCUUCAGCUACUCGCUCUGAUUUAAUCUCAGUGUCGUGAUGAAAUUUUCGUCAUAGCUGGUUGUUUAGAGAUAGCAUCUUAUUUGCCAGAAUAGGUAUGCAACCCCUUCUUCAGGUUUUUUCUCCUCUUUAUUUCUCCCCAAUUUUAGAAUUUGUUUGCUUUUGUUGUUCUAUUUUAGUUUGUAAAGAAUGAAUUUUCUCAUUGUUUACCAGGUACCACAGAUUUGCUCUCGAGCUGGGUAAGAUAAUGUUCGACUUGCCAUCGCAAGGAAAAAAAAUUCAAGCAUCCAUUAUCGAACUUGUCCUCUCUGGUGUUUUUAUUUGCAAAUGACUUCAAGCAGUAAAAAGAUCUCUUGGGAGUGCUCGUUUUUUUUGACGUAAGGUGAGGAGAGUAAUUUGGACUUCUUGCAGAAAGCCGUUGAAGCUUUCGAAGUGUGCUUUUGGGGACAACAUAGAACUUUUGGCCCAGCAUGAGCACUGUGUCUGGGGUGAUGAUUGCUGAGGGCUCGUGAAAAACAUUUGGGAAUGUGACGCAACACAUGGGGUUUCGUUGCAUGAUCUCCGCUGCUCGGAUGGGCCUAUCAUGUAUUUCAACUCGGCCACCAGGAUAAAUGAUCUUGACUACCACGUCCCUUCUGCUGUUAGGGCAUAGACAACUUGCUAUGGCCAUUCAAUCCAGAAAGAUGAGGUUAAGAAGGCUGGCUUUGAAUUUAUAAUUUGGCUUUUACAUAAGAUUCGAAUUGCAAAUGAACAAAUGAAUCGUGACCUCUUAUUGUGUAGCUAAAACUAGAGGCGGAAGAAAGUAUGCUCAGUGUUUGUUUAUUUUCUUUCAAGAUAAGGACGGUUGUGUGUCCAAGGAGGAUAAAUAAGUGGUAAAAUUGAUAAUGACUAGGUUUGCUGCUCUAUGAUUAUUCCUGCUCAAAAAAUGUAUUUUGUAUGAUGCUACUAUUGGCAACUGAGGGAGAGGGAGAGUGUAUACACAGUGUAAUCCAGGAUAAUUUUGGUGAAGCAAAUCUGGGAUGUUAGCCUACGAACGGGUAGUGCUCUCCGUCCUCGUUCUGGGUUUUAUAUAGAGAUAGGUGAGAUCAAGGUAGAGGAGGUGGGGGUCUCAAUGGAGGAUGAAGAUGAUGAAGAUUUCGUUGGAGAUAGGAGAGGUGAGGAGGGGUUUUUUUCGCUAAUGGGUGAUGGAGAUUGUUCAGGCUGAGGGCUUGAGAAUUCGUGUUUAGAUCAUGGUGGAUUUGGUGGUUUUUUGAGGGAAAACUCUAAUUCUAGGGGAUCUUGUGACAUUUUAUAAAAUUAAGGGAGUUUUAUGAGAUUUACCCUUGCAUAUAUGUGAACUAAGCCGACGACGUACGCUCUAAUCAUCGACGCUCUGAUGUUUAUGUCGUGUGACUUGCUAUCGUAAAGAAGUUGGAACUUGCGAAAUUGAGUUAUUCCCCGUUGAAAAUUGAUGUUCACGUUUAUGUUGACUUAGGUUUUGGCUUGAUUUCCUCACUUAGAUAGAUGGGAGUUGCCGAUUUCAUUUUUUUUCUUAGAAAUAUUUUUUAUAUUUUGUAUUGAGAUACUAAUUUUUGUUUCUUUAGAUAAUU
This is a long non-coding RNA of Asparagus officinalis (garden asparagus), 2115 nucleotides long. RefSeq lists it as uncharacterized. The transcript has 4 exons. Lineage: Eukaryota; Viridiplantae; Streptophyta; Magnoliopsida; Asparagales; Asparagaceae. The record is from RefSeq and is a predicted model, not a curated record.